This 804-nucleotide non-coding RNA is filed under the name Uroplatus ebenaui. Lineage: Eukaryota; Metazoa; Chordata; Lepidosauria; Squamata; Gekkonidae. The record is from RNAcentral.
UAUUUUGGUUCCAGAUAUUAUAUUACUUUUGACUAUACUUAUACAUGCUAGUUUCCGCACCCCUGUGAAAACGCCCUUCCCGGAGCCGGUAUCAGGCACACACCACACAGUAGCCCACAACACCUAGCACCGCCACCCCCCCACCGGGCUUCAGCAGUAAUAAACCCUGAGCAAUAAGCUAUGCUUGACUCGGUUAUAGUUACCUAGGGCCGGUAAACCCCGUGCCAGCCACCGCGGUUACACGUGAGGCCCAAAGCAAUAAAAACGGCGUAAAGAGUGUUUAUAGUAACUACUUUCCGUCUGGCGAUUAACCAAGUGUAACGUUGUAAAAUACCUUGUACACCUUAGGAAACACCACAACCCCACACAUGAAAGCCCCCUUACCCCACGACAGCACGGACUCAAACUAGGAUUAGAUACCCUACUAUGCCGUGCCAUUAACUAUGAUAAUCAUAUCCGCCAGAGAACUACGCGCUACCAGCGUGAAACUCAAAAAACUUGACGGUAUCUCACAUCUACCUAGAGGAGCCUGUUCUUUAAUCGAUAACCCACGCUAGACCUCUCCCACACUUGUACCAUCAGCCUAUAUACCUCCGUCGCCAGCCCGCCUGAUAACAGACACCAAGCGAGUACAAUAGCCUAACCACUAACACGACAGGUCAAGGUGUAGCUAAUGUGUGGGCUGUAAUGGGCUACAUUUUUUAUUAUAAAACAAACCCGAGUGUUAUGAAAACCCCACGAAAAGGUGGAUUUAGCAGUAAGCAAGGAUUAGCACGCCAACCUGAAACCUGCCCUGAGAUGCGU